RNAcentral lists this long non-coding RNA (1529 nucleotides) under Sus scrofa (pig). RNAcentral describes it as "lncRNA (ENSSSCG00000062131.1)". The record is from RNAcentral. Lineage: Eukaryota; Metazoa; Chordata; Mammalia; Artiodactyla; Suidae.
CUCACCACUAGCAUAGACAAAAGAUAAAAAAGAAAAAAAUAAAUUUAGGAAACACCUAUAAUUUGGAAUUGAGAUAAAUAAAUCAGUCCAGCAAAAGAUAGAGAAGAUAAGGUCCCCGAGGUAGAAGGAGAGCCAGGAGCAUACAUUGUUGCCAUAUUCAAGCAAAUAUUUGAUUAAGUUUCCAUUAUUUGGCUAGUCUGAACUUCUAGUUUGCAGAUAUGCAUUGCCCUGUGGAGAUAAUUCUGAAUAGCUAUCAACUUUUCAAGGAACUGGUAUGUUCUAUACAACAGAACUGUGGAAAUGUUACACUAAUGAUUUUGACUUUGCUUGGUUUUUAUAUUUUCAUGAUGGAGGAGAUCUGACUAUACUUAUAGGGAGAAAGGAAGGAUUAAGAAAAAAGCAGUGUGAAGAUGUAGAGAAAAGUAAAUUUUAAAAUAAGGAUUUAAGAUAAAAUGUGAAGAAAACAUUCUGUUAAAAGUGGAACAGGAUAUAAAUUUCCCUUUAAAUAAUGGGCUGUUUCAUUAAAAAAUAAAAUAUACGGGAAUAUGUUUAACAGGAACUUUUCAAUACCUGUGUGAUGAGAGAUAGAAAACAUUGUUUAUUUUAUUUUUUUCCAUUUUUUAAAUUACUCAAAUGAAUUUAUCACAUCUGUAGUUGUAUAAUGAUCAUAACAAUCUGAAUUCACAGGAUUUCCAUCCCACAGCCCAGGCACAUUCCCCCCACCCCCCAAACUGUCUCAUUAGGAAACCAUUAGUUUUUCGAUGUCUGUGAGUCAGUAUCUGUUCUGCAAAGAAGUUCAUUCUGUCCUUUUUUCAGAUUCCACAUGUCAGUGAUAGCUUUUGAUGUUGGUGUCUCAUUGUAUGACUGACUUCACUUAUCAUGAUAAUUUCUAGGUCCAUCCAUGUUGCAAAAAAUGCUGGUAUUUCGUUCUUUUUAAUGGCUGAGUAGUAUUCCUUUGUGUAUAUGUACCACAUCUUGAUCCACUCCUCUGUCAAUGGACAUUUAGGUUGUUUGCAUGUCUUGGCUAUUGUAUAGAGUGCUGCUAUGAACAGUGGAGUACAUGUGUCUUUGCAAGUUACAGUUUUCUCUGGGUAGAUGCCCAGGAGUGGGAUUGCUGGAUCAAAUGGUAGUUCUAUGUUUAGUUUUCUGAGCUAUCUCCAUACUGUUUUCCACAGUGGUUGCACCAAUUUACAAUCCCACCAACAGUGUACUAGUGUUCCUGUUUAAAUUGUAGAGGCUGAAAGUUCACAAUCAAGGUGCCAGGAAAGCUGGAUUCCUCUGAGGCCUCUUUCCAUAUUUUGCAGAUGGUCCCUGUUCUUAUGGUGUCCUCACCUGGCCUUUCUCUAUGCUUGAAUAUCUGUGGUGUUUCUCCCUCUUCUUAUAAGGGCAACAUUCCCAUUGGAUUAAGGCUCCACUCUUAUCUCAUUCAGCCUCAAUUACUUCUUUAAAGGCAUUAUCUCCAAGUAUAGUUUCAUGGGCAGGGGAGUUAGGACUUAAACAAAUGUAUUUGGGAGGGACACAAUUCUGUC